GGGUAACCUGCCCUAUGCUGGAUAAUAACCUCGGGAAACUGAGAAUAAUGAUCCAUAGUUCACUACGCCUGGAACGGUGAGUGGAUGAAAGCUCCGGCGGCAUAGGAUGGGCCUGCGGCGUAUCAGGUUGUAGGGGGUGUAACGUACCCUCUAGCCCCCUACGCGUACGGGUGUUGGGAGACAUAGCCCGGAGAUGGAUUCUGAGACACGAAUCCAGACCCUACGGGGUGCAGCAGGCGCGAAAACUUGGCAAUGCGAGAAAUCGUGACCAGGGAACUCCAAGUGCAUCGGGUAAGACCGGUGCUUUUCUUGACUCUAAAUAGGUCUUGGAAUAAGGGGUGGGUAAGGACGGUGCCAGCCGCCGCGGUAAUACCGGCGCCUCAAGUGGUAGUCGCUUUUAUUGGGCCUAAAACGUUCGUAGCCGGUCUGAUACAUUCGUGGGUAAAUCAACCAGCUCAACUGGUUGAAUUCUGCGAGGACGGUCAGACUUGGGACCGGGAGAGGUGUGGGGUACGCUCAGGGUAGGGGUAAAAUCCUGUCAUCCUGAGCGGACCACCUGUUGCGAAGGCGCCACACUAGAACGGAUCCGACGGUCAGGGACGAAGCCUAGGGGCACGAACCGGAUUAGAUACCCGGGUAGUCCUAGGUGUAAACGCUGUGGACUUGAUGUUGGGGGUGCUCCGAGCACUCUCAGUGUCGAAGCGAAGGUGAUAAGUCCACUGCCUGGGAAGUACGGUCGCAAGGCUGAAACUU
RNAcentral lists this ribosomal RNA (753 nucleotides) under uncultured Candidatus Poseidoniales archaeon. RNAcentral describes it as "bacterial SSU rRNA". It matches the Rfam family "Archaeal small subunit ribosomal RNA", at positions 102 to 857 of the family's 1478-position model. Lineage: Archaea; Methanobacteriati; Thermoplasmatota; Candidatus Poseidoniia; Candidatus Poseidoniales. The record is from RNAcentral.